GCAGUCGAGCGAACAGACGAGGAGCUUGCUCCUCUGACGUUAGCGGCGGACGGGUGAGUAACACGUGGAUAACCUACCUAUAAGACUGGGAUAACUUCGGGAAACCGGAGCUAAUACCGGAUAACAUGUUGAACCGCAUGGUUCAACAGUGAAAGACGGUCUUGCUGUCACUUAUAGAUGGAUCCGCGCCGCAUUAGCUAGUUGGUAAGGUAACGGCUUACCAAGGCAACGAUGCGUAGCCGACCUGAGAGGGUGAUCGGCCACACUGGAACUGAGACACGGUCCAGACUCCUACGGGAGGCAGCAGUAGGGAAUCUUCCGCAAUGGGCGAAAGCCUGACGGAGCAACGCCGCGUGAGUGAAGAAGGUCUUCGGAUCGUAAAACUCUGUUAUUAGGGAAGAACAAAUGUGUAAGUAACUAUGCACGUCUUGACGGUACCUAAUCAGAAAGCCACGGCUAACUACGUGCCAGCAGCCGCGGUAAUACGUAGGUGGCAAGCGUUAUCCGGAAUUAUUGGGCGUAAAGCGCGCGUAGGCGGUUUUUUAAGUCUGAUGUGAAAGCCCACGGCUCAACCGUGGAGGGUCAUUGGAAACUGGAAAACUUGAGUGCAGAAGAGGAAAGUGGAAUUCCAUGUGUAGC
RNAcentral lists this ribosomal RNA (639 nucleotides) under Staphylococcus capitis. RNAcentral's name for it is "bacterial SSU rRNA". It matches the Rfam family "Bacterial small subunit ribosomal RNA", at positions 57 to 679 of the family's 1533-position model. The record is from RNAcentral. Lineage: Bacteria; Bacillati; Bacillota; Bacilli; Caryophanales; Staphylococcaceae.